RNAcentral lists this long non-coding RNA (1343 nucleotides) under Chlamydomonas reinhardtii. RNAcentral's name for it is "long non-coding RNA (CREI_LNC000056)". Lineage: Eukaryota; Viridiplantae; Chlorophyta; Chlorophyceae; Chlamydomonadales; Chlamydomonadaceae. The record is from RNAcentral.
GCGGGGGCUGUCUGCGUAUGGCAUUAACACGUACAUAGUGCUAGCGGGUGGUAGGGUGUUGCUGUGCAGGGCACUUGGGACGUGUGCUAGUAGAGGGAUGUGUAUAAGUAAAGUGGUGGGUUAGAAACAGCACGUUGAAACAGUGCAUGGGAGCAUGACUCUCGAGGUUGUAACAGGAGCCUGCUGAAUCCAAUGCACCCGACUGGAGCCGAUAGCUGUGUGUGGCAAGCAGUAAUGCGCCUCACAACCAAGCGUGCUCACCCAAAGUGUGUCCAAUCCUUGAACCUAACAGAUUGUGCUGGAGAACUACGCCCUGCCCGGCCUGAUGAUGAUUGGCACGGACUCGCACACGCCCAACGCCGGUGGCCUGGGUAUGUGCGCGGUGGGCGUGGGUGGCGCCGACGCGGUGGACGUGAUGGCGGGCCUGCCCUGGGAGCUGAAGGCGCCCAAGGUGAUCGGUGUCAAGCUGACGGGCAAGAUGUCCCGGUGGACCUCGCCCAAGGACGUCAUCCUCAAGGUGCGAGCCUGGCAGGGCUGCUGGUUGGGGUAGUCUUGGGGCAUGGCAGGGUUGGCGCGGGCGCAGGCUGGUAGGGCCCUAGCCAGGGCGGAACGGGCUGGUUUGGGACGAUGGUACCGCUACGGUUAACGGUGAUGAGAGGCAGUGAUGCACCUGUGGUGGUACCGUAACCUCCGCGCUCCAGUCGGACCGGCCCCUCUCCUACCUUCUCCGCCAUACCGCUUUGGCAACCUGCAGGUGGCGGGCAUCCUGACGGUGAAGGGCGGCACUGGCGCCAUCGUGGAGUACUUCGGCCCGGGCGUGGACCACAUGAGCUGCACCGGCAUGGCAACGGUUUGCAACAUGGGCGCUGAGAUCGGUGCCACCACCUCCAUGUUCCCUUACAACAAGCGCAUGCACGACUACCUGGUCGCCACCGGCCGCGCGCCGGCCGCCUCGCUGGCCGACUCGUUCAAGUGGGUGGCAGCGUGGCAGACGUGUACCUUGGCAUUCCCCGAGGAAGUUGCAUUAAGCGGCACCGCCAUUGAGGCUUGACUCUGGAAUAGGCUGCCGGUGACCGUGGGCUGGGGCGGGGCAGGCGAUGGGGUGGCCUGGUGGCACCGCCAAGGUACAGGCCUUCACGGCUCCCAUUGAAUGCGGCCCGCUUUUUAUAACGUACCCACCCGUAGGGAGCACCUGAAGGCGGACGAGGGCGCGCAGUACGACCAGCUGAUUGAGAUCAACCUGUCCGAGCUGGAGCCGCACGUCAACGGCCCCUUCACGCCCGACCUGGCGCACCCGCUGUCCAAGUUCGCGGAGGAGAUGCGCAAGAACGGCUGGCCCACGG